RNAcentral lists this transfer RNA (89 nucleotides) under Planctomycetota bacterium. RNAcentral's name for it is "Planctomycetes bacterium (groundwater metagenome) tRNA-Ser". It matches the Rfam family "tRNA". Rfam says of the family: Transfer RNA (tRNA) molecules are approximately 80 nucleotides in length. Their secondary structure includes four short double-helical elements and three loops (D, anti-codon, and T loops). Further hydrogen bonds mediate the characteristic L-shaped molecular structure. tRNAs have two regions of fundamental functional importance: the anti-codon, which is responsible for specific mRNA codon recognition, and the 3' end, to which the tRNAs corresponding amino acid is attached (by aminoacyl-tRNA synthetases). tRNAs cope with the degeneracy of the genetic code in two manners: having more than one tRNA (with a specific anti-codon) for a particular amino acid; and 'wobble' base-pairing, i.e. permitting non-standard base-pairing at the 3rd anti-codon position. RNAcentral also lists the same sequence under 2 other names. Lineage: Bacteria; Pseudomonadati; Planctomycetota. The record is from RNAcentral.
GGAGAGGUGGCAGAGUGGCCGAUCGCGGCGGCUUGCUAAGCCGUUGUAGGGGUCACACCCUACCGCGGGUUCGAAUCCCGCCCUCUCCG